RNAcentral lists this long non-coding RNA (679 nucleotides) under Homo sapiens (human). RNAcentral describes it as "HSALNT0358933". Lineage: Eukaryota; Metazoa; Chordata; Mammalia; Primates; Hominidae. The record is from RNAcentral.
CAGUAUGAGCUGGCAACUGAAUACAGGGUUGAGAGUUGUCAGAGUCACGUCUAUUCUCCAGAGUGUGCAGAUUGACAACCUUAGUUUUCAUGAAGAAGACAUUCUGAAGGUAUUUCUAAUUGCUUUCAUUGAAAGCCAUAAACAGAAACGACUAUAGCAGAUAAGGCACCACCGUAGCCAACUGAUUGAAGCUAGCAUUAUCACUAUUGGGACAAAACUGUAUCACAUGCCUCUUGAUAUGAUAUACUAUGAAAGAUGCUACAUCACUUUGAUGAUAUCCUGCCAAAAAUGCAUAACCUGAAUCUAAUCAUGAGGAAACAUCAGAAAAACCAAGUUGAGUGAAAUUCUACAAAAUAAUUGGUCUAUACUCUUCAAAUAUGUCAAGGAUAAAAAACACAAAGAAAAUAUGAGAAACUAAUCCAGAUUAAAGGAGAUUUAAAGGACCAGACAAUUAAGUGCAAAGCAUAACUCUGAAUGGAGAUGGAAUAAAAGAACUCUAAGGCAGAGGUUGGCAAACCAGUUCUGUGAAGAGCCAGAUAGUAAAUAUUUUAGGCUGUAUGGACCAUAUGGUCUAUGUUGCAACUUUUCAACUCUGUGAUUAUAGUGUGAAAGCAGCCAUAGACAGCACGUAAACAAAUGGGUUUGGUUUUGUUCCAAUAAAACCUUAUUUGAAAACAGA